This 1011-nucleotide ribosomal RNA is filed under the name Triticum aestivum (bread wheat). RNAcentral describes it as "partial small subunit ribosomal RNA". Lineage: Eukaryota; Viridiplantae; Streptophyta; Magnoliopsida; Poales; Poaceae. The record is from RNAcentral.
AUGAAGCGCGGCCACGGCUCCGGCAGGCUGGCAGGCGACGGUGACGGCGCGUUGCCCGACCUGCCUCCUCCUCCUGCUCCUUCUCGCCGCGGUCGCCUGCACGGGGCCGCCCGACGCCGUGUCCAAGCCCGCGAUGCUCAAGCCCUGCGCCUCCGCCACAGCCUACCCCGCGCUGCUCUCCUACACCCUUCACGCCGACCUCAAACUCGCCGAGCUGGCCGCGCUCUUCGCCGCCGACCCGCUCCGCCAACGCCAUCGACUUCGCCGCCUCGGGCCUGGACGGCCACAUCCUCCCGGCCGGCCUCGCGCUGCGCGUGCCGGUCCCCUGUGCCUGCUCCGGCAGCGCCCGCAGGGCCACCUCCGUCCGCUACGUCUCCUGCCUGGGGGACACGCUCGCCUCCAUCGCCUCGCGCGUCUACGGCGGCCUCACCGCCCCGGACUGGAUCAGGGACUCCAACGGAGGCGUCCUCGACGCCGGGACCGCUCUGCUUGUGCCGCUGCUCUGGCCGGGCGACGAGGAGGAAGACCACGCUCGUGCCGCUGCUCUGGCCGGGCGACGAGGAGGAAGACCAUGCUUGCGCGGACGGGGGAGCGGAGGAGGCUGCCCGCGGCGAGCACGCCGUGCAGCGGGAGGUGGCCGCGUACCUCCGACCCGGCCGUGGCCAGCUGCAUCUCCGACUGCAGCACCUCCCCGGCUCCGCGGCUGCAUCUCCGUGGCCUCCGCGCCCGGUGCCGGGGCCGCCCGUGGCCUCCGCAACCGGUGCCCUCCCCACGAGCUCUCCGCCUCCCUGCUCCGGCGCCCUUCCCGCGAGCUCCCCGCCUCCCUGGUCCGGCGCCCUCCCUCCCCGCGAGCUUCGGCGCCCGCCCGCCGUGACGCCUCGCCCGUGCCCCAGCUCCGGCGCCCUGCUCGCCGCGCCCGUCCCGUCCUGUGCGCGCCUGCUUCGGUGGGUGGGGAUGGGGGAGUGUGAGCACGUGGGUGGGGCCAGCAGAAAAGAGAGGGAGAGAGAGUAG